RNAcentral lists this ribosomal RNA (430 nucleotides) under uncultured bacterium. RNAcentral's name for it is "partial 16S ribosomal RNA". It matches the Rfam family "Bacterial small subunit ribosomal RNA", at positions 354 to 796 of the family's 1533-position model. The record is from RNAcentral.
GUGGGGAAUAUUGCACAAUGGGCGCAAGCCUGAUGCAGCAACGCCGCGUGAGGGACGACGGCCUUCGGGUUGUAAACCUCUUUUAGUAGGGAAGAAGCGAAAGUGACGGUACCUGCAGAAAAAGCACCGGCUAACUACGUGCCAGCAGCCGCGGUAAUACGUAGGGUGCAAGCGUUAUCCGGAAUUAUUGGGCGUAAAGAGCUCGUAGGCGGUUUGUCACGUCUGCUGUGAAAACUGGAGGCUCAACCUCCAGCCUGCAGUGGGUACGGGCAGACUAGAGGGCGGUAGGGGAGAUUGGAAUUCCUGGUGUAGCGGUGGAAUGCGCAGAUAUCAGGAGGAACACCGAUGGCGAAGGCAGAUCUCUGGGCCGUAACUGACGCUGAGGAGCGAAAGCGUGGGGAGCGAACAGGAUUAGAUACCCCGGUAGUCC